GCCGAGGUAGCCAAGCGGCCCACGGCGCCGGUCUUGAGAACCGGUGGGGCCUUGCCCCGCGGGAGUUCAAAUCUCCCCCUCGGCGC
RNAcentral lists this transfer RNA (86 nucleotides) under Candidatus Methanoperedentaceae archaeon GB37. Its description in RNAcentral is "Candidatus Methanoperedenaceae archaeon GB37 tRNA-Ser". It matches the Rfam family "tRNA". Rfam says of the family: Transfer RNA (tRNA) molecules are approximately 80 nucleotides in length. Their secondary structure includes four short double-helical elements and three loops (D, anti-codon, and T loops). Lineage: Archaea; Methanobacteriati; Methanobacteriota; Methanomicrobia; Methanosarcinales; Candidatus Methanoperedentaceae. RNAcentral also lists the same sequence under 1 other name. The record is from RNAcentral.